GCGUGAAUUAUCUACCUACUGGUACGGGACAACAGUUGGAAACGACUGCUAAUACCGUAUACGCUGGUAACGGGAAAGGGGGCCUCUUCUUGAAAGCUCUCGCCAGUAGAUGAGUCCGCGUUUCAUUAGCUAGACGGUGGGGUAACGGCCUACCGUGGCAACGAUGAAUAGCAGGCCUGAGAGGGUGGCCUGCCACACUGGGACUGGAACACGGCCCAGACUCCUACGGGAGGCAGCAGUGGGGAAUAUUGCGCAAUGGACGAAAGUCUGACGCAGCGACGCCGCGUGGAGGAUGAAGGUUUUCGGAUCGUAAACUCCUGUCAAGAGGGAAGAAACCUAUCGGAACUAAUACUUUCGGUAAUUGACGGUACCUCUAGAGGAAGCACCGGCUAAUUCAGUGCCAGCAGCCGCGGUAAUACUGAAGGUGCAAGCGUUAAUCGGAAUCACUGGGCGUAAAGCGCUCG
This 464-nucleotide ribosomal RNA is filed under the name uncultured bacterium. RNAcentral describes it as "bacterial SSU rRNA". It matches the Rfam family "Bacterial small subunit ribosomal RNA", at positions 115 to 571 of the family's 1533-position model. The record is from RNAcentral.